Maylandia zebra (zebra mbuna) is the source of this 3328-nucleotide RNA transcript. It is a transcript of the gene named KH domain containing, RNA binding, signal transduction associated 1b, with no coding region annotated. Lineage: Eukaryota; Metazoa; Chordata; Actinopteri; Cichliformes; Cichlidae. The record is from RefSeq and is a predicted model, not a curated record.
UAGGCGGCGUCAGUCCGGAGAAGUACGUCCCUCUGAGCUCACUUCCGUCGGUUUGAGUUGGCUGUUCUUCCAGCGCCUCGCAGCUUUUGUUCUCCCAUUUCCAACUAGCCAGCGCUGCUGAGAAGAGGGAAUCAAUCAGUUGGGAAGCGGCAAACAGUAACGGACCCGUCGGUCGCACAAAAACGCCACAUGCAAAGCGCGGUCUGCAAAGAGGAUACGCGGUUCUCCGUAGUUACAUAAUUGGACUACUUUUUCCUCCCCGUAUACUGUUGGGUUUAUUUUUCUCCACGCUUUAUUUUUUGCACCGAAACUGACUGCCCCCCCUACACCUCCAAACUCAACAAAAUGGAGAACGACGACAAAUAUCUCCCCGAGCUUCUGGCAGAGAAGGACAGCCUGGACUCGUCGUUCACGCACGCCAUGAAACUUUUAAACGCGGAAAUUGACAGAAUCCAGAAAGGUGAGACUAAAAAGGAAACUGAGACAUACCUGGACCUUUUCACGACGAAGAACAUCAAACUCAAGGAGCGAGUGCUCAUACCUGUCAAACAGUACCCGAAGUUCAAUUUUGUGGGGAAGAUUUUGGGACCUCAGGGCAACACAAUCAAACGUCUGCAGGAGGAGACUGGAGCCAAGAUCUCUGUGCUGGGCAAAGGAUCCAUGAGAGACAAAGCCAAGGAGGAGGGGCUGAGGAAAAGCGGUGAGCCCAAGUAUGCCCACCUCUCCAUGGAGCUGCACGUGUUCAUCGAGGUUUUUGCGCCUGUGCCCGAGGCUUACCUGCGCAUGGCCCACGCCAUGGAGGAGGUCAAGAAGUUCCUGUUUCCGGAUAUGAUGGAUGAUAUCUGCCAGGAGCAGUUCAUGGAGAUGAGCUACCUGAACGGAGGCCAGGAUCACGGAGCCCGAGGCCGAGGUGGCCUGCCAGUCAGGGGCCGCGGUGUCCCCCCUGCAGGAGCACACAGGGGCAGGGGAAUGCCGCCUCGUGGUGCUGCCGCCAGGGGAGGUGUGACUCGAGGUGGCCCAGCCAGAGGUGGCGCAGUGAGGGGUGCCCCAGCAGGCAGAGGAGGACCUCCCGCAGCACCUGCCAGGGGAGCUGUGGCACCCCGUGCCAGACUCAUAGCUGGAGGACCUCCCCAGAGGAUGCCACCACCGCCUCCACACCAGCACAACCCCGGUGCAGCUGCAGAAGGCUAUGACGAAUAUGGCUACGAUGAGAGCUACACAGACACGGCCUACGAGUCUUACGACAGCUAUUACAGUCAGCCGCAGGCAGAGCCAGAAUAUUAUGACUAUGGACAUGGGGAGACCACAGAGUCGUACGAGUCCUAUGGCCAGGAUGACUGGAACGGCACCCAGCGGACAACUCCAGGGAAGGCCCCUCCCCCCUCUCGAGGCGGCAAGACGACUUACCGGGAGCACCCAUAUCGACAGUACUGAAGCGGACUCGCCACCCUUAGUGUCGCCCUGACAAGCGCCUGUCUACCACGGCAGCUCUCGCUUUAAGAAGCCCGACAAAAGACCCAGAGGUAAGACCUCUAAAAUAACCUGGAUAGCUUCCUAAUGUGUAUAGAGUUCUAAAGCAUUGAAUGCCUGGGUACGUAUAAGACUUUUUCAAUCCUCCUACCUGUGGUCGUAAUCCUUAAUGAGAAUUGCUUUUAUAGCAUCUGAAAAUUAACUGAGUUCAAACCACCAUUCAGGUCUAGGCUUCAUUGUCAUGAAUGACAGCUGGCGCGAUGGCUACUUUAGUACAGAGUGUAAUGGCAGUGCAAUGGAGAGGAUGGUUAUAACCUAGAGAACUCCACUGUAAAGUCAUGGCAUCAAAAAAGAAUCGACUCAAAAGCACAGCUAUCGGUCACUGAGUGCCCGGAGACUGACGGUCGGCUGGACAGAGACCAUGCAAACGUCAGUUGAAGCCGUGCACGGGAGCAGCUCAGCAUGGUGUCGUGGUCAGACGGAGCUGAAAAGGAGUGGCCUCGAGGCCCAGUUCUGUUCCUGGCAGGGGUUGUGGGAGGUGAUGGGGGUGGGUGGGGGAAGGGAAGAGGAGCAAAUGGGUGGUGAGAGGUGGCCGGCUGCCAUGUCAUCCAAAGGAGCCAGCUGAUUUAGAGGUUGGGGGGAGAUGAGGAAAAAGAGAAAGGAGCCGGUUGAGACUGCAGCUGGUCAGUGAGCAGACUGAGAAUCCAGAGACUCCCAUUUCACGUGGACUCUUUCCUCCUAUUUAUAUAUUUCUCGUCACUAUCGAAUUAGAGCACAUUAUUCUCGUGUUAAUUAUUUUCAAGUCUGGAAGACGCCCACUCGAAGCCUGCGCUGAUUGUGCACACUUUUGCGCGUGGCUUCCGCAGACCACCCCGUGGUCCGAGCAAUGUAAUUGUCACAGCCUAAUUUACCAUAAAAUGAGCGCUCCUGUUAUAGCAGGCUGUGAAAUCAUUUUUAAUUUCCUUUAACUGUUGAGUUUGACAUAAAAGGAAACUCUUACUUUCCACCAAGGCGAGCUGUAUCCGUUUCACCAGCCAGCAGUUUUGUAUCCCGGCACUGAAUUAGAAUCCAGGCUCAAGAGUUAGAAAUGAUCGGUGUCUCGCUGAGGACGAGUUCGCGAAACGCACUCUUGCCACCUCUCGCACGAGCCCCAUGCGACGCCGCGGAUAAUGAAUGCUAAUGCUAAGCACAUGCAAAUGCUUCCUAUUUGCAUGUGCUUGCAUGUACCCUCGCCGCAUAUGUGAAAGGCUUUCAUAAGCAGCGCUGGCCUGUUCUUUGCAGUUCAGCAUCCAAGAAUUAGAAUUCGACGAGAUGGAGUCGCAUGUGAGAAAGGGACAGAGGGUGAAGGCAGACAUUACUAACAUCCCUGCCAUCCAUCUAUCCAUCAUGCUUGUGUUGAUUUGAUUCCCCUCUCUGCCAUUUUCUGCCAUUAUCACUGAUGAUAUUACAGCUGCCUGUGGUGCUGAGUUACAUUUAGAGGUCAAAACUGUACUUUCCUGUAUUAAAAACAAAUUUGUGUCCCGAUCCGCUGGUCAGAGGCAGCAUUAGCCAAGUCAGAGGCUCCAUUUCGUUUAUUGAAAAAGCCAGCAGCUCUGAGGAUAGAACAUUAGAUAUUAGGAUAGAAACCAUCAUUUGAGAUGAAAUGUCAACGGGCCAUAGCCAAAACAGACCAUUUUUCAGUCUUUAUGUGCCAUUAUGUCUAAAAUAAUGAUUUCUGCGUCUCCUGUAAUCUAAUGAAAGAUGAGUGAUGGUGUGGAAGCCGCUUCCUUUGUUUGGAUCGAUGGAACUGUCAAAAGUGUGAGGUUUGGAAGUAAAUACUACUGUGCAUUGAUCAAUAAAGGUUGACUUGAAUAUAAAA